UACGUAGGGUGCAAGCGUUAAUCGGAAUUACUGGGCGUAAAGCGUGCGCAGGCGGUGAUGUAAGACAGGUGUGAAAUCCCCGGGCUUAACCUGGGAACUGCAUUUGUGACUGCAUCGCUGGAGUGCGGCAGAGGGAGGUGGAAUUCCACGUGUAGCAGUGAAAUGCGUAGAGAUGUGGAGGAACACCGAUGGCGAAGGCAGCCUCCUGGGCCAGCACUGACGCUCAUGCACGAAAGCGUGGGGAGCAAACAGG
Molecule: ribosomal RNA, 253 nt
Filed under: uncultured bacterium
Lineage: Bacteria
Description: partial 16S ribosomal RNA
Rfam family: Bacterial small subunit ribosomal RNA
Source: RNAcentral